AGGUACCCAACCGAAGAAGUCCCGGCAAACUCCGUGCCAGCAGCCGCGGUAAUACGGAGGGGGCAAGCGUUGUUCGGAAUUAUUGGGCGUAAAGGGCAUGUAGGCGGUUUGGUAAGUUAAAGGUGAAAUACCAGGGCUUAACCCUGGGGCUGCUUUUAAUACUGCAGGACUAGAGUCCGGAAGAGGAUAGCGGAAUUCCUAGUGUAGAGGUGAAAUUCGUAGAUAUUAGGAGGAACACCAGUGGCGAAGGCGGCUGUCUGGUCCGGUACUGACGCUGAGGUGCGAAAGCGUGGGAGCAAACAGGAUAGU
RNAcentral lists this ribosomal RNA (309 nucleotides) under Anaplasma marginale. RNAcentral's name for it is "bacterial SSU rRNA". It matches the Rfam family "Bacterial small subunit ribosomal RNA", at positions 472 to 781 of the family's 1533-position model. The record is from RNAcentral. Lineage: Bacteria; Pseudomonadati; Pseudomonadota; Alphaproteobacteria; Rickettsiales; Anaplasmataceae.